Molecule: ribosomal RNA, 774 nt
Filed under: uncultured Neocallimastigales
Lineage: Eukaryota; Fungi; Neocallimastigomycota; Neocallimastigomycetes; Neocallimastigales
Description: partial large subunit ribosomal RNA
Rfam family: Eukaryotic large subunit ribosomal RNA
Source: RNAcentral
GUACACGCUGUGACUAGCAUAUCAAUAAGCGGAGGAAAAGAAACUAACAAGGAUUCCCCUAGUAACGGCGAGUGAAGCGGGAAGAGCUCAAAUUUGAAAUCUUAAAGGGUUUCCCUUUACGAAUUGUAGUUUAAAGAAGUGUUUUCUGUUGAGGUUUUGGUAAAAGUUCUUUGGAAUAGGACAUCAUAGAGGGUGAGAAUCCCGUAUUUGACCUUUACUUUCAACUUUGUGAUACACUUUCAAAGAGUCGGAUUGUUUGGGAAUGCAGUCCAAAAUGGGUGGUAAAUUUCAUCUAAAGCUAAAUAUUGGCGAGAGACCGAUAGUGAGCAAGUACCGUGAGGGAAAGAUGAAAAGAACUUUGAAAAGAGAGUUAAACAGUACGUGAAAUUGUCAAAAGGGAAGCGUUUGACACCAGUGUUGUUUUUCUGAAAAUCAAUUAAAGAACUGUUUAUGCUAAGCUGUUUAGACUUUAUCAGCUAUCUGUUUAGUUUUAGGCUUUUCUUUAAUGCACUUUUCAGUUAACAAGUCAACAUCAAUCUCUUUUGCUGUAAAAAAGCUUGAGGAAGGUGGCUUGAGAUUCGUCUUAAGUGUUUAUAGCCUCUUGCCUAUGCAGUCGGAGAGAUUGAGGUCUGCAGCGUAGAUCCUUCGGGGCUAAAUGCAUUUGUGCUAAGUUAUAGCAUUUUAUAGACAACUUGUUGACUAUGAUUUGUCUUGUAGCUUACUCGCUUAUGUUAUUUUACCUACGCUUAGGAUGUUGAGUCGUAGAGCACGCAG